RNAcentral lists this ribosomal RNA (253 nucleotides) under uncultured bacterium. RNAcentral describes it as "partial small subunit ribosomal RNA". It matches the Rfam family "Bacterial small subunit ribosomal RNA", at positions 26 to 285 of the family's 1533-position model. The record is from RNAcentral.
AGGACGAACGCUGGCGGCGUGCUUAACACAUGCAAGUCGAGCGGAAAGGCCCUUCGGGGUACUCGAGCGGCGAACGGGUGAGUAACACGUGAGUAAUCUGCCCCUAGCUCUGGGAUAGCUCCGGGAAACCGGGAUUAAUACCAGAUAUGACCACUUUAGACAUCUGCUGUGGUGGAAAGAAUUUCGGCUAGGGAUGAGCUCGCGGCCUAUCAGCUUGUUGGUGGGUAACGGCCUACCAAGGCGACGACGGGUA